GAUGAACGCUAGCGGAAGGCUUAAUACAUGCAAGUCGAGCGGUAGGUGGCUUCGGCCAUUGAGAGCGGCGCACGGGUGAGUAACGCGUACAUGACCUGCCUGUCAGAAGGGGAUAGCCCUGGGAAACUGGGAUUAAUACCCUAUGGUAUUGAUAUUAUGAAUGAUAUCAAUUAAAGUUGAGGCGCUGACAGAUGGAUGUGCGUCUGAUUAGCUAGUUGGUAGGGUAACGGCCUACCAAGGCGACGAUCAGUAGGGGGCGUGAGAGCGUGGUCCCCCACACGGGUACUGAGACACGGACCCGACUCCUACGGGAGGCAGCAGUAAGGAAUAUUGGUCAAUGCCCGCAAGGGUGAACCAGCCAUUCCGCGUGGAGGAUGAAGGCCCUAUGGGUUGUAAACUUCUUUUAGAUGGGAAGAAAAUGCUAGAUGUAUCUGGUACUGACGGUACCAUCAGAAUAAGCACCGGCUAACUCCGUGCCAGCAGCCGCGGUAAA
Molecule: ribosomal RNA, 493 nt
Filed under: uncultured bacterium
Lineage: Bacteria
Description: bacterial SSU rRNA
Rfam family: Bacterial small subunit ribosomal RNA
Source: RNAcentral